Molecule: ribosomal RNA, 376 nt
Filed under: uncultured bacterium
Lineage: Bacteria
Description: bacterial SSU rRNA
Rfam family: Bacterial small subunit ribosomal RNA
Source: RNAcentral
AAUCAACGCUGGCGGCGUGCCUAAUACAUGCAAGUCGAACGCGAAAGUGGAGCAAUCCAUGAGUAGAGUGGCAAACGGGUGAGUAACACGUGGGUGACCUGCCUUCGAGUGGGGGAUAACGUCCCGAAAGGGACGCUAAUACCGCAUAACAUGCUGUCUUUUAAGAGAUGGACAUCAGAGCCGGGAUCGCAAGACCUGGCGCUUGAAGAGGGGCCCGCGCCNGAUUAGCUAGUUGGUGAGGUAACGGCUCACCAAGGCCACGAUCAGUAUCCGGCCUGAGAGGGCGGACGGGACACACUGGGACUGAGACACGGCCCAGACUCCUACGGGAGGCAGCAGUAGGGAAUUGUUCGCAAUGGGCGCAAGCCUGACGACG